This 692-nucleotide ribosomal RNA is filed under the name Salmonella enterica subsp. salamae. Its description in RNAcentral is "partial 23S ribosomal RNA". It matches the Rfam family "Bacterial large subunit ribosomal RNA", at positions 2251 to 2925 of the family's 2925-position model. Lineage: Bacteria; Pseudomonadati; Pseudomonadota; Gammaproteobacteria; Enterobacterales; Enterobacteriaceae. The record is from RNAcentral.
ACAGUGUCUGGUGGGUAGUUUGACUGGGGCGGUCUCCUCCUAAAGAGUAACGGAGGAGCACGAAGGUUGGCUAAUCCUGGUCGGACAUCAGGAGGUUAGUGCAAUGGCAUAAGCCAGCUUGACUGCGAGCGUGACGGCGCGAGCAGGUGCGAAAGCAGGUCAUAGUGAUCCGGUGGUUCUGAAUGGAAGGGCCAUCGCUCAACGGAUAAAAGGUACUCCGGGGAUAACAGGCUGAUACCGCCCAAGAGUUCAUAUCGACGGCGGUGUUUGGCACCUCGAUGUCGGCUCAUCACAUCCUGGGGCUGAAGUAGGUCCCAAGGGUAUGGCUGUUCGCCAUUUAAAGUGGUACGCGAGCUGGGUUUAGAACGUCGUGAGACAGUUCGGUCCCUAUCUGCCGUGGGCGCUGGAAGACUGAGGGGGGCUGCUCCUAGUACGAGAGGACCGGAGUGGACGCAUCACUGGUGUUCGGGUUGUCAUGCCAAUGGCACUGCCCGGUAGCUAAAUGCGGAAGAGAUAAGUGCUGAAAGCAUCUAAGCACGAAACUUGCCCCGAGAUGAGUCUUCCCUGAGACUAUAAGUCUCCUGAAGGAACGUUAAAGACGAUGACGUUGAUAGGCCGGGUGUGUAAGCGCAGCGAUGCGUUGAGCUAACCGGUACUAAUGAACCGUGAGGCUUAACCUUACAACGCCGAAG